GACGAACGCUGGCGGCGUGCUUAACACAUGCAAGUCGAACGAUGAAGCUGGAGCUUGCUCCGGUGGAUUAGUGGCGAACGGGUGAGUAACACGUGAGCAAUCUGCCCUUGACUCUGGGAUAACUGCGGGAAACUGUAACUAAUACCGGAUACGAGAUCUGGAGGCAUCUCCGGAUCUGCAAAGAAUUUCGGUCAAGGAUGAGCUCGCGGCCUAUCAGCUUGUUGGUGAGGUAAUGGCUCACCAAGGCAACGGCGGGUAGCCGGCCUGAGAGGGUGCCCGGCCACAAUGGGACUGAGACACGGCCCAGACUCCUACGGGAGGCAGCAGUGGGGAAUAUUGCACAAUGGGCGAAAGCCUGAUGCAGCAACGCCGCGUGAGGGAUGAAGGCCUUCGGGUUGUAAACCUCUUUUAGUAGGGAAGAAGCGAAAGUGACGGUAACUACAGAAAAAGCACCGGCUAACUACGUGCCAGCCGCCGCCGUAA
RNAcentral lists this ribosomal RNA (483 nucleotides) under uncultured bacterium. RNAcentral's name for it is "partial 16S ribosomal RNA". It matches the Rfam family "Bacterial small subunit ribosomal RNA", at positions 28 to 523 of the family's 1533-position model. The record is from RNAcentral.